RNAcentral lists this small nuclear RNA (60 nucleotides) under Cervus elaphus hippelaphus. The record is from RNAcentral. Lineage: Eukaryota; Metazoa; Chordata; Mammalia; Artiodactyla; Cervidae.
GCUCACUUCGACAGCACUUAUACUAAAACUGGAAUGAUACAGGGAAAAUUAGCNCCUCUG